AUGCAGGAGUCCCUGUCGGAGCAGGGCGGUGACGGCCGGCGUAGAUCGACGGGCGGGCGCUGCCUGACGUUCUUCUGCCCGUGCGUGGCCUUCGGGAGGAUCGCCGAGAUAGUCGACAGGGGAGGCACAUCGUGCUGUGUGAGCGGGACGCUGUACAUGCUGCUGGCCUCGGUGACGGGGGGAUGGGGCUGCCUCUACUCCUGCUGCUACCGCUCCAGGCUGCGGGAGCAGUACGGGCUCAAGGAGAAGCCCUGCGCCGACUGCUGCGUCCACUGGUCCUGCGAGUUCUGCGCCCUGUGCCAGGAGUACCGCGAGCUCAAGAACCGCGGCUUUGACAUGCGCCUCGGGUGGCACGCCAACAUGGAGAAGAUGGGGAAGAGCGCUGCCACCGUCGCGCCUCAGGCUUACUCGGGGAUGACUCGCUAG
Molecule: ribosomal RNA, 426 nt
Filed under: Triticum aestivum (bread wheat)
Lineage: Eukaryota; Viridiplantae; Streptophyta; Magnoliopsida; Poales; Poaceae
Description: partial small subunit ribosomal RNA
Source: RNAcentral